Long non-coding RNA from Astyanax mexicanus (Mexican tetra), 452 nucleotides. RefSeq lists it as uncharacterized. The transcript has 3 exons. The record is from RefSeq and is a predicted model, not a curated record. NCBI's taxonomy places the organism in Eukaryota, Metazoa, Chordata, Actinopteri, Characiformes, Acestrorhamphidae.
GAUCGUACGAUACUGAUAGAAUCUGAGUGUCUUAAUGCUGAGGAUUGUCCGUCCGAUACUGAUCGAAUCUGGGUGUCUUAAUGCUGAGGAUCAUCCGAUACUGAUCGAAUCUGAGUGUCUUAAUGCUGAGGAUCGUCCGAUACUGAUCAAAUCUGAGUGUCUUAAUGCUGAGGAUCAUCUGAUACUGACCUAAUCUGAGUGUUUUAAUGCUGAGGAUCGUCCGAUACUGAUCAAAUCUGAGUGUCUUAAUGCUGAGGAUCGUCCGAUACUGAUUAAAUCUGAGUGUCUCAAUGCUGAGGUUCAUCUGAUACUGACCUAAGCUGAGUGUUUUAAUGCUGCGGACUGGCCGAUAGCAAUCAAAUCUGAGUAUCAUAAUGAUGAGGAUUGAAUACAAUAGCUAAGACAUCUAAAGGAUUUAAUGAAAUGCAGUAAAUGUGUGUGUGACAUCAUUC